AUGUGCACCCUCAGGGAUGUCGACUUAAUGGAACCAGUCGUCCCACAAUACAAACUAGGGCCGAUCACCUUCAACCGCACUGAUCGUCCGGUAAACACCAAUCAGGGCAAUUCAGCUGCACUAGUCCUCGACCCAAUAAUUGACGGGUUCCACCUCACACGAGUCCUUAUGGACGGAGGCAGCAGUCUAAACCUGCUUUACCAGGACACAGUGCGCAAGAUGGGCAUCGAUCAUUCGGUGAUCAAACCCACUAAAGCCACCUUUAGAGGUAUUAUACCAGGUGUGGAGGCUAGCUGUACAGGCUCCAUCGCCCUUGAGGUAGUCUUCGGAUCACCACACAAUUACCAUGUCGAAGAGUUAAUCUUCGACAUCGUCCCCUUUCAAAGUGAUUAUCAGGCACUGCUCGGACGAACCGCGUUCGCUCGAUUCAACGCGGUGCCACAUUAUGCCUACCGCAAGCUCAAGAUGCCCGGUCCGCGCGGCGUCAUCACGGUUAAUGGAAAGGCCGAACUUUCCCUUGGUACCAAAGAGCAUACCGUUGCUUUAACUGCAGAAGCAAUGACUGGCACCUUCCAAUCGAUCCUCGAGUCGACAGCCAGGCUCCCGGACACCGCCAAAGGACUCCGAACUACUUCGCGGCAGGAUAGCCCGGCUCGUCCAGAGCUUAAUUAA
Molecule: ribosomal RNA, 672 nt
Filed under: Triticum aestivum (bread wheat)
Lineage: Eukaryota; Viridiplantae; Streptophyta; Magnoliopsida; Poales; Poaceae
Description: partial small subunit ribosomal RNA
Source: RNAcentral